This is a long non-coding RNA of Gasterosteus aculeatus aculeatus (three-spined stickleback), 1420 nucleotides long. The record is from Ensembl. NCBI's taxonomy places the organism in Eukaryota, Metazoa, Chordata, Actinopteri, Perciformes, Gasterosteidae.
UCCAUAUUCCGCUGUUUGCUUGGUCACGGCCGUCGAGAGGGGAGGAGCGCCAGCCGGAUCGCGACCGUUUGUCCCGAGCCUUCAAGGAAUAUCGAUUGGAACGUGAACGCGUGCACACACACGCCGUGCACACACACCCCGUGCACACACACGGCCCAUAAGCGGCCACAAAAGGCAGAGCUGCGCGCACAAGCGGGAGAGUUUGCACGGAGAUCCGGGUGAUGGAUGGACGGAGAGGCCUGCAGAUCUAAAAAGGAUGACAGUGUGUUUGGUUUUGCUGACUACCAGUCAGCGUGAGCGAUAUUCAUAUCACGGAGAUAUCUGACUGGCCCACGGCCAACUACCUGGCAGCUAUCAGCUCAGGUAGCCAGUGGGAACGGCUUCCCUCAACUUGAUGGCUGUCAAAUAAGGUCAUGUAUCGGUACUGGUAUCGCUUUAAGGGGUGCUGGAAUCCGAACCUUUUAAACACUAUCCAGCCAUUCUGAUGAUGAGUGAGACAAACAACCUCUACAGGAGGUUCAUCGUGCAAGUGACAAACCUUCGUUUGAUGCGGUUAAAUUUGAAGAAACCCAGGGAUGAUGCAGAAGGGGAGAAGCGUGAUUUGUGGUGUUACUUGUCUAAAUCCACCAGUGUCAUUUCUCUUGGAUCCUUGGAGGUUUUAAGGGGACCACGGCGGAUUUCCGCAACCAACCUUUGAGAAGAAGUCCAGGGCUUCCGUCUGCUCUGCGUUCAACGAUACUAUGAUGAGGAAGUGAAACAGUGAUCACUCAAAGCCGAAGUCUCACGGCCACAGAUGCAUUUAAUGUGUUUUUCUUCAUGAGGAAAUAAGAUAUACGCCACUUCUUAAUAUGCUUUAGUUUAAUAUUUUGUUCAUCAGACAAGCGUCAUCCCUCUUUCCCAACCGAGCCCCAAACCGAGUGAGAGAAAACAAGAACGAAACAAAAAAACAGAAAUUCCUCAUUUACGUGAGAUGUUUCAAACCAAACUCAGAACACCAAACAAAGCAACAAAGAAAGUUCCUUCUCAUGCAGCUCAAACUCCACAGCUCUGAAAGUAAAACCCAAUGUGGCUGAAGAAUUAAAGAACUGAAUAUUAGACGUGUUGCAGAAAUGGGUUGAAGCACGUGAGUAAUGAGAAAACGCCGGGAGAAUCUAACAUGAAGCAACAAAAAACUAGCAACGCGACUUGUUUUGAUGACUUGUGAUCACAUGAAAAGUCUGGAUGUGAUUCUGUAUUCGGGACACGUAGAUUCAAACCAUGAAGAUACUUGACCAUAAUCGGUAAUUGUAUAUAUUUAAGUUAAAUGUCUUUGACAUGUGAUGCGGAAGCCUCGCUGUGUGUGGGCAGCGUGUGCAUCAGGAAGGUGCAAAGUUUCAUUUGCUUUAUUUGAAUGUCUGAGAGAGAGAGAGAGAGAGAGAGA